This 254-nucleotide ribosomal RNA is filed under the name uncultured bacterium. RNAcentral describes it as "partial 16S ribosomal RNA". The stretch from base 27 to 254 matches the Rfam family "Bacterial small subunit ribosomal RNA", at positions 105 to 334 of the family's 1533-position model. The record is from RNAcentral.
UCUUUCUUUGCUGGCGACCGGCGCACGGUGAGUAACACGUAUCCAACCUGCCCUUUACUCGGGGAUAGCCUUUCGAAAGAAAGAUUAAUACCCGAUAGUAUAAUGAUUCCGCAUGGUUUCAUUAUUAAAGGAUUCCGGUAAAGGAUGGGGAUGCGUUCCAUUAGGUUGUUGGUGAGGUAACGGCUCACCAAGCCUUCGAUGGAUAGGGGUUCUGAGAGGAAGGUCCCCCACAUUGGAACUGAGACACGGUCCAA